Molecule: ribosomal RNA, 252 nt
Filed under: uncultured bacterium
Lineage: Bacteria
Description: partial 16S ribosomal RNA
Rfam family: Bacterial small subunit ribosomal RNA
Source: RNAcentral
UACGUAGGGGGCAAGCGUUGUCCGGAUUUAUUGGGCGUAAAGAGCGUGUAGGCGGCCAGGUAGGUGGGUUGUGAAAACUGGAGGCUCAACCUUCAGACGUCGACCCAAACCCACUGGCUAGAGUCCGGAAGAGGAGAGUGGAAUUCCGGUGUAGCGGUGAAAUGCUUAGAUAUCGUCAAGAACACCGAUAGUGAAGACAGCUUACUAAACUAUAACUGACGCUGAGGCACGAAAGUGUGGGGAUCAAACAGG